UUAGUCGCCUCACGUUGUGUUAUACUUAUUGUUAAAAUGUGGCAAGAGUGUUAUACAAAAUGUUACGACCAGCUGCAUGGUCGUGAAUACCAACAACAAAUUCAAGAAUUUGAGAAAAGAAGCAUAAUGUAACUAUAAAUUCGUUUCAGCCUUCAAACUGUAUCGUGAAUUGCAUAGGUCUGGUUGCAGACUAGACUUUUGAGUAAAAAUGCAACCAGUUUCGUGAGGAUUUUGCACCAAAGUGCAAAUUUCAAAACAACAAACUAUACGAAAAAUUUGUAAAAUAAAAUACAAAUAAAUUUUAAACGAUUAUAGCAUUUUGUUGUUGUUCUUCAUUUGCGUAUCUUUAAAAUUUCCCGUGUGAGCUGAAGAGAGGAGUAAACUAAACCGUGGUGCAAAGCAGGAUCUUGAGCUCAUUACGUCGAGUCACUUUGUUUUUGUUCCCUUGCAGAACAGGGGCUAUUGGCUAGACUUUGUAAAAAUGCGUUCCGUCUGGUACAGCCUUCAUAAAACUUGAAAAUCGCUGAUUUUGAUAUCCAUUUAGAGAUGACAGCAUUUUUAUAAUACCCCCUAUAUAAAAGUCCCUUCUUUUCCAAACCGAUCAGUUAGCCACGAACAACGAGAGACAAAAGACUUAAAGCAACAUAAAAAAUGACACCGCUUUUCGCUUUACUCUUUUUGCUUUUCGGUUUAGUCCACGCUGCAGUGGUUCCCAUUGAUUCUUCGUCAGUAAAUGUGAAACAUUCGGGUCAGGAUUAUUCGUAUUCGAUUAACGAGAAUCGAGGGAUUGCCAUCGACCCCUUGCCACAUUACGAGAUUCCAGUGAUCAAGACAGCACCUGGGAAUAGUUUGAUCAAACAUGAGCACAUUCCGGUGAAAGAUCAUGAGAUAAAGCCUUUGCAGCCGCAGGUUGCAGGGAUGGGUUAUUCAACGCCUGUGGCAGUUCUUCCAGCGUAUUCCUACCUUCCUGCCCAUCAGUAUGCCAUUCCGUACCCAUACGGGAUUAAUUAUCCCUACAAUUUGAUUGCGACUAUUUAAGGAGUAGCUGGAUUAGAACAAAAAUGGAUUUGGGGAACUGGGGUUUAGAAUUAGCGCCGAUGGAUGUGGUACAAUAAUUGGUGAUAAAUAAAAAGUGUUUGAAGAU
RNA transcript from Tribolium castaneum (red flour beetle), 1144 nucleotides. RefSeq lists it as uncharacterized. Lineage: Eukaryota; Metazoa; Arthropoda; Insecta; Coleoptera; Tenebrionidae. The record is from RefSeq and is a predicted model, not a curated record. The transcript has 3 exons.